UCUGGGUCAUGCUCUAUGAAGAGACUGUUGUUAUCAAUGAGUUCGAUGCAUAUAUUUGUUAGCACUGACAGAUUCAGACACAGAUAUUUUCCACCUCCAAUGUUCAGAUCUGGUGUAGCUGCUGGGAGCCCUGGGCUGGAUAUGUACCCAGGUGACUCAUGGGGAAGGAUGCACCCUUCUGAGAAGCAUCACCUUUCUCAAGAAGCAUGACAGAGCUCCCGAUAUUAGACUUUCAAGACGUCUACCAGGCCUUCUUUGGAAUAAAUUGUGUCAUUGAAUGGCCACCUGCAUCCCACACAACAGCUUUAAAGGAGAAAACCCCAUGGAGAAAGAACUGAGACUGAGAGGAGUUCCAAACUAAAAAUAAACCACAGAUCUCAGCAAGGCUCUAUACCCUGGCUGUUGCCCUUGUCACUGACUUUUCCUUAUUGAAAGCUACUCAGAGACCUGAGGAAAGCUUUGUGCUAAUACCGAUAUGAUUGCUGUCAUCGCCACUACCUGGGUGAGUGCCAUUCAACAUUUACACAGUGCAAGGUGCUAUGUAGG
This 546-nucleotide long non-coding RNA is filed under the name Homo sapiens (human). RNAcentral describes it as "HSALNT0380684". The record is from RNAcentral. Lineage: Eukaryota; Metazoa; Chordata; Mammalia; Primates; Hominidae.